Molecule: ribosomal RNA, 540 nt
Filed under: Electra sp. Eom 1026
Lineage: Eukaryota; Metazoa; Bryozoa; Gymnolaemata; Cheilostomatida; Electridae
Description: partial 12S ribosomal RNA
Source: RNAcentral
CGCGAGGUAACUCGGCCAAACUGAUUGGGAGCAUAAAUGUAAAUUUUAAUACAGGAGUUAAAUCUUUAAAUUUACUUAAUUCUUUUUCUCAUAGCAAGACACCAGGAAACUCAGUUAUGGAACCAGGAUUAGAUACCCUGCUACCACUGAGAGUAAAUAUUACUAACCUGGGUAUUACGAGUGUGUUUUCUUAAAACCUAAAGAGUUUGGCGGUUCUAUAAAAAGCCAGGGGAGCAUGGCCUGUUAGCGACAAUCCCCGAAAAUUUUACCUUUCCUUCCUAAGUUUAUAUAUCCCCGUAUAAGCUACAAUUAUAAUUUAAAAGAAGUAACACUAACUUAUUGAGUUGGCUAAUCAGGUCGAGGUGUAGCUAAUGGAGAGGCAAGAGCUGUGCUACGUUAAAGGGAACAUUUAAUGGAUAUUGGAUUGAAAAAUUCGAUGGAAAAAGUACUUGGUAGUAAGGGAGUUUUAACAAGGUUCUCUGAAGAAAUAAAAAUAGAGCGUACAAAUCGCCCGUCAAUCCCUCCUAUUAGGAGGGAUAA